GCGGCCGCAGCGGCGGAUCUGGCGGCUGCUGCAGCCCGGGCGGCUGCGGAGAAGGAGGGAGGGGAAACACAAAGCCGGCUACGCGCUGCGAGGCCUUUCGGGAAGACUUGGAAUGCCUUAUUCAAGAACAGAUGAAGAAAGGCCACAACCCAACUGGAUUACUAGCAUUACAGCAGAUUGCAGAUUACAUCAUGGCCAAUUCUUUCUCGGGUUUUUCUUCACCUCCUCUCAGUCUUGGCAUGGUCACACCUAUCAAUGACCUUCCUGGUGCAGAUACAUCCUCAUAUGUGAAGGGAGAAAAACUUACUCGCUGUAAACUUGCCAGCCUGUACAGACUUGUAGACUUGUUUGGAUGGGCACACCUGGCAAAUACCUAUAUCUCAGUAAGAAUAAGUAAGGAG
Molecule: small RNA, 401 nt
Filed under: Pan troglodytes (chimpanzee)
Lineage: Eukaryota; Metazoa; Chordata; Mammalia; Primates; Hominidae
Description: processed transcript
Source: RNAcentral